This is a non-coding RNA of Gasterosteus aculeatus aculeatus (three-spined stickleback), 3138 nucleotides long. The record is from RefSeq and is a predicted model, not a curated record. NCBI's taxonomy places the organism in Eukaryota, Metazoa, Chordata, Actinopteri, Perciformes, Gasterosteidae.
CAAAACUUGUUAUCUGUUAUUAGACGACCAUUUUAUUUGUCAAACUUGUUUGUCUGUAAUCCUUUAUUGUAGCACGACAGUAAAUAGACCUUUGCUGGUAACGCCACACUUAUUGAAUGUGCAACGUUUAACUCCAACCCCAGCGAGUAUGAGCGUGCGCUUUGCCCCCGCUCAGCACAGAGUACAGUUUGUUCCCUUUCCCCCGUCUGAAAGCAGCUUUCAUCAGGGCCCCCGGAGUUGGCUGCAGCUCGACUGCUGCGAUCAUCUUACAGACAGAGCGUUGGUGAGGUUGGGGAGGCGGGAGGCGGGGGGUAAGGACAACACACAAACGCAAAGUGCCUUGAAGCAGGAGAGAAACCAGAUGAGGGGAGAAAAAAGAAAAAGAAAAUGGAGAUAUCAAGCUACGGAGGAGGGAAUGUGAAAGAGGAGGGACGAAGACGAAGGGGCCGUCACUGAGGUUGAUGAGGAAUGCAGCUGCAGCUUCUGACAUGUAUGAAAAGCAACAACAGAAAGACCUAGAUCCCCCCUCAAUCACCAAGUGCUUCAGCAGAUGGUUCUGGGUUCAACAACAGCAGAGCAUGGUGGGGGCUCUCCUGGAGCGCGCACACACACCCCAUCUGUUUAUGAAUGGGGCAACCAUCGCCCAUCCCCCGACAGCUACAGCUGACGGAGGAGGGGGCACCACGAGUCACUGAAAGUGAAAAGACGACGGAGAACGAGGCCAUCGGAACGGGGGGAGGUUGACAAGAGAUGGGGACCGUUUGCACAUUUUAUGGUUUGUUCUUCUCUUAGCAGUCACAGGUGGUACUCAAACACCCCACGUAGUCACCAUUAUACAACUUUAAGACUCUAUCCCAUCAGCAUGUUCCUUAGACGCCUCAAAGGAAGCACAGUAAACCUGCUUUAAACAGUCUUUCUUAAUCUAGGUCACCAUGUGCGUUCUGUUAUUGUUCUUUAAUGACUGUUAGAGAUCAUCCCUGGUUAAUCAAGGCAAUAUAAUUCAGUCUUUCCUUGUUUGCCGUAAGGACGACAAACACUUCAACUACUGGGAAUUUAACACUAAGAAAAAAACAUGCCUUUGUGAUAAAAUAUACAUUUUAAUAAUAAUAUGGGUGGUUGACAAAAGUUGCAAUAGAUAGAAAAUAAAUAAUACGAAGUGUUAUUUGCAGCCCUAAACUGCAGGAAACUGUUCAACAUAAACACAUAAUUUUCCUUCCUCAUUGAACAACACGAUCCAGAUGGAAAAGGGCGGCUAUUUUCACCGCUGCAUAACAAUCACCAACUGAUUAACAAGAAUUGCUUAUCGCGUCUCCACUACUAAGAAUAAUGCGGCUUGUUUUUUUUUGGUCCCACCUCGAGAUGAGGAUGGGCUGAGGAGAGAGCAGCAGAAUUAAAUAUCAAACAUCACUAUGGAUGUUGUGAACUGUGAUGGCUUGGAUUCAAGUUAGAGGGAGAAUGUAUUUAAUUUGGCCAUCAAGCGUUUCUGUAACAUAUCGGAUCAUAAGUUCUGUCUGCUACAUUGGGCUACGGUUAAAGCUUCUUCUCAUCUUCCCUUCUGGGAUUCUUGGUGAACUCCUUCCUGCUGGCUGGCUGUCAAAUGAAGCUGAAAGACUUUAAAAUAAAACUAUAUUUGGGUUUCUGAGAAUGUAGGUAUCAGAAAUGUGAGUUUAGGGUGCCGCAUGCAGACACCCUGUGGGAGUGUUUAUUUGUUUUUUCUCACUCCCCAGAAGUGAGUCAAAUUUAAAAGGAGACCCGAGUAUUGAUUGCAUCUGUAGCCACAGCAGACAAACACCCCAAACAUAAACUGAUAAGACACGAGCGUCCACAGAAACGCUCACAAGAGUUAGCCGGUCUGCGGCGGCACAAAGCAAAGGGAGUCGCGUGGCUAAUUUCCAUGUGUAACACCAGAUCAUUUGCAUCAAUUUGCAUUUGCAUGUUCUCACAGAGGAUUAACACUGGCGGCUCAGGUUCAGGGAAGCCAUCACUCAAUUAGCAAAUGACAAAGAGGGUCUCCUCUCUCCUCGACGGCGGAGCUACGAGGUAGAGGACACAGCCAAGUGGGACAUUUCCAGCCUCAAUUCCAGUUCUUUUUUUAAUUCAUGUUAACGAGAAAGGCAGCGUGAUAUAAGUUUUGAUUCAAACAAUUUCUCACCAACAUUUUUGUCUAUAUUCAGGAGCAAAAGAAUGUCUUAAGUGCUCAGAAGUUAACAAUCGAGGACAUGGAUAAUAAACUAAUAAUGUAAUUAUAUUCAGUGAAGGAGGAAUUGCGAAUUGAUUUCUGCACUUUUUUGCAGUAGGUGACAUACAGCAACUCUUCACUGCAUAGGUGUAGAACUAAAACUAUAACAAAAACUAUACCCAUACUUGUAAUUCGGACAUUUUGUUGUACACAUUAAAAGUUAACUGCAUUUGAUUUUAACUGGGAUUAAUGUUUCUAAUUGUCAGCUCCACCUAUUUGCUUGAAAUGUCACUGUCGCCAGCCUCAAAUAUUUCCUGUCUCAUGACCUGCAGGUGUGGCCUUACGACUCGGAGGGCCAAGGGCCAACAACCCCCCCCCACCCUCCCCCCAACCAAUGCAGCAAUAGAGUAGGAAUUUAUAGCAGUGCUGUAUUAAAUUCCCAACACCGUGACAUCAAGUGGGCCAUGACGGCACGGACUGCACAUCGCCACGGCUUCAACUCGGCAGAAAACAGCUGUGAAAACGUCGGAUAUUUUUAGACGGGAUGAAAACAUGUCUGCCUAACAGUCAUUGGGGCAGCGGAGCCCAGCAACCAAAAGUGAAAGUGAAGCCCGCCAGCCGUUGCUUCACCAAAAUCAAAAGGAGAUUUCAACAUUCACAACUGAUCCGUUUUAUGAUUAGAACUGCUUGAUGAGCAAUGAGGCGAACCUGCGAGUAUCCGAGCAGGUGAGUGCAGCGCAACUAAACGGCCUCAGAGGAAAACGCUGGAUCAAGGACGACAUCACCACUGGAGCCACAAUGCUACAAGUUGAUCAACUUUAUGAUACUGUGGUUUUCCUUUUGUUGAAACAUCAAAUACAAUGUGUUAACUUAAGGCCAGAAAGACUUCUUCCAACGAGAAACUCGCUCAAAAGCUGAUUCCUGAUUGAACUGAAAUUAACUAAAGAAACACUACUGUC